CCAGCCGGCCGGACGGCCGCUCCGGCAAGUGCCGAAAGGCCGCCGGGGAGGAAAGUCCGGGCUCCACGGAAACACGGUGCCGGGUAACACCCGGCGGGGGUGACCCCAGGGAUAGUGCCACAGAAAGCAAACCGCCGGCGCGUGCGCCGGUAAGGGUGAAAGGGUGGGGUAAGAGCCCACCGCGGACCCGGCAACGGGGACGGCAUGGUAAACCCCACCGGGAGCAAGACCGAAUAGGGGCGGCGCGAGGGCAACCUCGGCCUGUUUCCGGGCUAUGCCGCCCGGGUUGGUCGCGCGAGGCGUCCGGUAACGGGCGUCCCAGAGGAAUGGCCGUCACGCGGGCGGGUUCGCCCGUCCGCCUUACAGAACCCGGCUUACAGGCCGGCUGGCGCA
This 393-nucleotide RNase P RNA is filed under the name Segnochrobactrum spirostomi. RNAcentral's name for it is "Bacterial RNase P class A". It matches the Rfam family "Bacterial RNase P class A". From Rfam's summary of the family: Ribonuclease P (RNase P) is a ubiquitous endoribonuclease, found in archaea, bacteria and eukarya as well as chloroplasts and mitochondria. Its best characterised activity is the generation of mature 5'-ends of tRNAs by cleaving the 5'-leader elements of precursor-tRNAs. The record is from Rfam by way of RNAcentral. Lineage: Bacteria; Pseudomonadati; Pseudomonadota; Alphaproteobacteria; Hyphomicrobiales; Segnochrobactraceae.